Molecule: long non-coding RNA, 733 nt
Organism: Suricata suricatta (meerkat)
Lineage: Eukaryota; Metazoa; Chordata; Mammalia; Carnivora; Herpestidae
Exons: 3
Source: RefSeq, a predicted model, not a curated record
GGAACAGGACAGCGACCCUCAGUAGAGGCAGGACCGCCAACACCAACCCCGCCCCUCAGCGCCUGGAAACCGUUGAUCUGCCGGAGUGGGACUGACACUGACGGAACCCGAUGGGUUCUCCUCGGAGCGACGGUCCAAGGCACCAGUAAACGACGGUCCUGUGGUUUUGUAGAUUUGCAAUGCCACCUCAGAAGGCUGAGAUGCGGUGAUUGCCAUGGCAACAGGGCUGCCUUAAAAGCAUUUGUUCUCACAGAGUGGAGGGCUGGUGCCCAGCAGGACUCAAUCUGGCCUCCCUGCACGCCUUCCCUAAUUAAGAUGCACCUUUUGGUUUGGACUCUUCAAAUCAUUCUCCCUUGAUAAACGACCACAAAGAAGGAGAAUGAAGGCCACGGAGCUUCGUGCCCCAUCUGUCAAGAGCUGGGCCCGCCAGGGUGGUUGGAGCAUCGGAGGAGACAGGGAGAUGAGGACACUGAGGCCCACGGUGACCCGCCCAUGUCACACACCCAUCAACGGGAGGGAGCGGCCGCCUCGCUGGAACAGAAGAGCCCUGCUGUCUCCUUCAGGGCACACCGGCUCAUUAGAUUUACCAGCCCCCGCCUGGAAAAGUAUUUAAUUUGUCUUUUACAAUGCACCAAUUGCAAGUUAAUUAACUGGCAAUUGAAAGUUAUAGGUGACAUUAGAAUUUAUUAAUAACAUUGGAAAUAAAUCUCCCUGGAAUUCAAGUAAUUGAAAA